UACGAGGGGGGCGAGCGUUGUUCGGAAUUAUUGGGCGUAAAGGGUGCGUAGGCGGCAUGAUAAGUUAUUGGCGGUAAAUCGAGGCUCAACCUCGUGGAAACUGAUAAUACUGUUUUGCUUGAGUACAGGAGAGGUUAACGGAACUCCAUGUGGAGCGGUAAAAUGUGUAGAUAUAUGGAAGAACAUCAAUAACGGCGAAGGCAGUUAACUAUUCUGUUACUGACGUUGAGGCACGAAAGCGUGGGGAGCAAAAAGG
This 256-nucleotide ribosomal RNA is filed under the name uncultured bacterium. Its description in RNAcentral is "partial 16S ribosomal RNA". It matches the Rfam family "Bacterial small subunit ribosomal RNA", at positions 524 to 776 of the family's 1533-position model. The record is from RNAcentral.